RNAcentral lists this unclassified non-coding RNA (253 nucleotides) under uncultured Chloroflexota bacterium. RNAcentral's name for it is "uncultured Chloroflexi bacterium contains 16S-23S intergenic spacer region". It matches the Rfam family "Bacterial small subunit ribosomal RNA", at positions 524 to 776 of the family's 1533-position model. The record is from RNAcentral. Lineage: Bacteria; Bacillati; Chloroflexota.
UACGUAGGUGGCAAGCGUUGUCCGGAAUUACUGGGCGUAAAGCGCGCGCAGGCGGUCGAGUUAGUCGAAUGUGAAAGCCCCCGGCUCAACUGGGGAGGGUCAUUCGAUACUGUUCGACUGGAAGGCAGGAGAGGGAAGUGGAAUUCCCGGUGUAGUGGUGAAGUGCGUAGAUAUCGGGAGGAACACCAGUGGCGAAGGCGACUUCCUGGCCUGUUCUUGACGCUGAGGCGCGAAAGCUAGGGGAGCGAACGGG